UACGGAGGGUGCAAGCGUUAUCCGGAUUCACUGGGUUUAAAGGGUGCGUAGGUGGGCAGGUAAGUCAGUGGUGAAAUCUCCGGGCUUAACUCGGAAACUGCCAUUGAUACUAUCUGUCUUGAAUACCGUGGAGGUCAGCGGAAUAUGUCAUGUAGCGAUGAAAUGCUUAGAUAUGACAUAGAACACCAAUUGCGAAGGCAGCUGGCUACACGAAUAUUGACACUGAUGCACGAAAGCGUGGGGAUCAAACAGG
RNAcentral lists this ribosomal RNA (253 nucleotides) under uncultured bacterium. RNAcentral's name for it is "partial 16S ribosomal RNA". It matches the Rfam family "Bacterial small subunit ribosomal RNA", at positions 524 to 776 of the family's 1533-position model. The record is from RNAcentral.